This is a non-coding RNA of Stegodyphus mimosarum, 45 nucleotides long. Lineage: Eukaryota; Metazoa; Arthropoda; Arachnida; Araneae; Eresidae. The record is from Rfam.
AAAAUGGCCCUUUUCAGGGUCAUGCAAAUUUAAUAAAAGAAAUAU